RNAcentral lists this small RNA (671 nucleotides) under Pongo abelii (Sumatran orangutan). Its description in RNAcentral is "retained intron". The record is from RNAcentral. Lineage: Eukaryota; Metazoa; Chordata; Mammalia; Primates; Hominidae.
GGCUGCGUGAGGAGCUGGCGGGGACACAGCAGAAGCUGCAGCGCAGUGAGCAGGCCGUGGCCCAGCUCGAGGAGGAGAAGCAGCACCUGCUGUUCAUGAGCCAGAUCCGCAAGUUGGAUGAAGACGCCUCCCCUAACGAGGAGAAGGGGGACGUCCCCAAAGACACAUUGGAUGACCUGUUCCCCAAUGAGGAUGAGCAGAGCCCAGGUGCGGAUGGGCAGUUCCGGAGUGGGGGAAGGAAAGGUUGUGUGAACUCUUGGUCCUUGGGACCGACUGGCUGCCAUGUUCCUUCCUGUGUCACUUCUGAUCAUGACAUCCUAGUGUGUGAGAGCUUCAAGAACGGUUGUACGUGCUGCUGCUUCUCACAUCCCCCCAGCUCUGUGGGGGGCAGACAUCACAGUUAAGAGCUGUGGAGUCGCCAGCCUGGCUUCCAGUGUUGCUCUGCCACUAGCUCCCCUGACCCUUGGGAGAGUUCUCUUCCUCUCCGAGUCACCUCUGAGGGAGGCACAUGCAGACAGCCACAGUGGGGCCAGUGCCUGCUUUGCUCAUGGUACUGGUUAUGCAUCGGAGCCUCCACUCUGUACACAGGGACACAGGCUCAGAGGUUAGGCAGCUUGCCCCAGGAGACAGAGCCUGAAGUACUGGAGCUGGGCCUCUACCCCAUUUCUAUG